This is a long non-coding RNA of Syngnathus acus (greater pipefish), 481 nucleotides long. RefSeq lists it as uncharacterized. The record is from RefSeq and is a predicted model, not a curated record. Lineage: Eukaryota; Metazoa; Chordata; Actinopteri; Syngnathiformes; Syngnathidae. The transcript has 2 exons.
UUUAUUUUUAGAUCAACCCGGUGGAAUACAAGCUUAUUGUUGGCAUCGUCAAUGAGCAUAAUCAUUGGAAGCUGGCGGUAAAGAAAUGUUUUAAUGCCACAAGAGGGAGUAACAUUACAGCAAAAAAUAUAUAGUUAUGUGCAAAAUGUUUAAUAAUUCAUGCAUAUGAGUAAUAAAACCUCAUAUUUUGUGUUUAAAAUAUAGGCAAUCAUGCCAGGAGAAAAAAGGUUCUUACUACUUGAUCCUCUUGGUGAGUCUCAAAUGGACAUUGAAAAAUGCCUGGAAUCAACCCGGGCGUUCAUGCGCAAGAAAGGGUGCAAUGUUUCCAGGUGGACUUGUGGCACUGUCCCCCAUCCCAGGCAACAAGAUUCAACCUCUUGUGGUGUCUUUGCUUUGAAAGUAUGCAUUUGAUUUACAGACAAUAUUUACCAAACUCAUAUUACUCAAGUAUGCAAAAACUUAAUCAAACAUUACUCAAAAC